Molecule: ribosomal RNA, 938 nt
Filed under: uncultured bacterium
Lineage: Bacteria
Description: bacterial SSU rRNA
Rfam family: Bacterial small subunit ribosomal RNA
Source: RNAcentral
AGAGUUUGAUGGUGGCUCAGGAUGAACGCUAGCGGGAGGCCUAACACAUGCAAGUCGAGGGGUAACAUUGUAGCUUGCUACAGAUGACGACCGGCGCACGGGUGAGUAACGCGUAUGCAACCUGCCUUUGACAGGGGGAUAGCCCGGAGAAAUCCGGAUUAAUAUCCCAUGGUAUUUACGAAUCGCAUGGUUUGUAAAUUAAAGAUUUAUCGGUCAAAGAUGGGCAUGCGUGACGUUAGCUAGUUGGUAAGGUAACGGCUUACCAAGGCUGCGAUGUCUAGGGGUUCUGAGAGGAUGAUCCCCCACACUGGUACUGAGACACGGACCAGACUCCUACGGGAGGCAGCAGUGAGGAAUAUUGGUCAAUGGGCGCAAGCCUGAACCAGCCAUCCCGCGUGAAGGAAGACUGCCCUAUGGGUUGUAAACUUCUUUUCUGCACCAAGAAUGGUUACUACGUGUAGUGAUUUGACGGUAGUGCAGGAAUAAGCAUCGGCUAACUCCGUGCCAGCAGCCGCGGUAAUACGGAGGAUGCAAGCGUUAUCCGGAUUCAUUGGGUUUAAAGGGUACGUAGGUGGCCAAUUAAGUCAGUGGUGAAAUCCUGCCGCUUAACGGUAGAACUGCCAUUGAAACUGGUUGGCUUGAGUACAGUUGAGGUAGGCGGAAUGUGUAGUGUAGCGGUGAAAUGCUUAGAUAUUACACAGAACCCCGAUUGCGAAGGCAGCUUACUAAACUGUAACUGACACUGAGGUACGAAAGCGUGGGGAGCGAACAGGAUUAGAUACCCUGGUAGUCCACGCUGUAAACGAUGCUCACUCGCUGUAUGCGAUACAUUGUAUGCGGCCAAGCGAAAGUCUUAAGUGAGCCACCUGGGAGUACGUUGGCAACAGUGAAACUCAAAGGAAUUGACGGGGGCCCGCCACAAGCGGAGGAACAUGUGG